Molecule: ribosomal RNA, 444 nt
Filed under: uncultured bacterium
Lineage: Bacteria
Description: partial 16S ribosomal RNA
Rfam family: Bacterial small subunit ribosomal RNA
Source: RNAcentral
ACGAACGCUGGCGGCAGGCCUAACACAUGCAAGUAGAGCGCCCCGCAAGGGGAGCGGCGCACGGGUGAGUAACGCGUGGGAACCUGCCCCUCGGUACGGAACAACCCAGGGAAACUUGGGCUGAUACCGUAUGUGUUCCCGGGCUGUGGUGGCCUGGGAAGAAAGAUUUAUCGCCGAGGGAGGGGCCCGCGUCCGAUUAGCUUGUUGGCGGGGUAACGGCCCACCAAGGCAUCGAUCGGUAGCUGGUCUGAGAGGAUGAUCAGCCACACUGGGACUGAGACACGGCCCAGACUCCUACGGGAGGCAGCAGUGGGGAAUAUUGGACAAUGGGGGCAACCCUGAUCCAGCCAUGCCGCGUGCGUGAUGAAGGCCUUAGGGUUGUAAAGCGCUUUCGGCGGGGAAGAUAAUGACGGUACCCGCAGAAGAAGCCUCGGCUAACUCCGU